RNAcentral lists this unclassified non-coding RNA (344 nucleotides) under soil metagenome. Its description in RNAcentral is "partial contains 5.8S ribosomal RNA, internal transcribed spacer 2, and large subunit ribosomal RNA". The stretch from base 1 to 121 matches the Rfam family "5.8S ribosomal RNA", at positions 35 to 154 of the family's 154-position model. The record is from RNAcentral.
GAUGAAGAACGUAGCGAAAUGCGAUAAGUAAUGCGAAUUGCAGAAUUUCCGUGAGUCAUCGAAUCUUUGAACGCACAUUGCGCCCACUGGUAUUCCGGUGGGCAUGCCUGUUCGAGCGUCAUUAUCCUCCCUCAAACCCCGGGUUUGGUGUUGGACCCAAGUUGUGUGAACAACUGGUCUCAAAGACAAUGACGGCGUCCGUGGGACCCUCGGUGCAACGAGCUUUUAGGAGCACGCGCCGAGUUGCAAGGACCUUCCGGGCCGGUCUCCUUUACUAUUUUACAAGGUUGACCUCGGAUCAGGUAGGAAUACCCGCUGAACUUAAGCAUAUCAUAAGCGGAGGA